GAAUCACUUGUCUCUUAAAUGGAGACCUGUAUGAAUGGCACGACGAGGGCUUAGCUGUCUCCUCAUUCAAGUCAAUGAAAUUGAUCUCCCCGUGCAGAAGCGGGGAUAAGACCAUAAGACGAGAAGACCCUAUGGAGCUUUAGACACCAGAGUAGAUCAUGUUAAACAACCCUUAAUUAAAGGACUAAACCAAAUGCCUACUACCCCAAUGUCUUUGGUUGGGGCGACCGCGGGGAAACACAAAACCCCCGUGUGGAACGGGAACACCCCCUCCUACAGCUAAGAGUUUCCACUCUAACGCACAGAAUAUCUGACCAAUAUGAUCCGGCAACGCCGAUCAACGAACCGAGUUACCCUAGGGAUAACAGCGCAAUCCCCUUUUAGAGCCCA
This 390-nucleotide ribosomal RNA is filed under the name Triacanthodes sp. AD-2003. Its description in RNAcentral is "partial 16S ribosomal RNA". It matches the Rfam family "Bacterial large subunit ribosomal RNA", at positions 1962 to 2502 of the family's 2925-position model. The record is from RNAcentral. Lineage: Eukaryota; Metazoa; Chordata; Actinopteri; Tetraodontiformes; Triacanthodidae.